This is a long non-coding RNA of Nematostella vectensis (starlet sea anemone), 441 nucleotides long. RefSeq lists it as uncharacterized. The transcript has 2 exons. The record is from RefSeq and is a predicted model, not a curated record. NCBI's taxonomy places the organism in Eukaryota, Metazoa, Cnidaria, Anthozoa, Actiniaria, Edwardsiidae.
CUCUCUCUCUCUCUGGGAAAUGAUUCCUGGAGUGGCUACAAGGAGCAUGGUGUUGAAAAGGUGUUUGAUGGGAACGUGAACAGUUAUGAGAUAAAAAAAAAACAAUUUCGCGAGUCAUUCAAACGCAAGGCUAAUCAGGUCUAUUCCUAUUGACUUCAUGAUCCAUAUCACCCUCAGGGUGGAGGUGUACGGUGUGAAAUAGCGUACAGUCCCCUCAACUUCUACAAGGAACGACUGAUAUUAUUAUGAAUUGUAGCAGGGACUCAUGAGCCUUUUUUUUGUUUUAAAAACAUUUUUAUUGUUUUUCAAUAUUAUACAAUUAUAUUAUACAAUAUUAUUAGUAUUACAAUAUUAUUAUUAUACAAUAUUAAUAAUAUUAUACAAUAUAACAUAUUACUUACUGAAAAAAGAAAGGACAAUAACAUAAAACAUGAAACAAGA